UAUGGACACUUCCUAAAAGCAUUUAUUUUCAACCCGCCAUGAGAAAAAUCUGAAGACAAAGUAAGUUGUUUCAGAAGACCUAUAAUUGCAGGUGUUUUUUCAUGUGGUAUCUUAAUAGAUUCCAUUACUUAUGGUUGCUGCUGCUGCUGCUAAGUCACCUCAGUCAUGUCCGACUCUGCGCAACCCCAUAGACUGAAGACUGCCAGGCUUCCCCGUCCCUGGGAUUCUCCAGGCAAGAACACUGGAGUGGGUUGCCAUUUCCUUCUCCAAUGCAUGAAAGCGAAAAGUGAAAGUGAAGUCCCUCAGUCGUGUCUGACUCUUAGCGACCGCAUGGACUGCAGCCCACCAGGCUCCUCUGUCCAUUGGGUUUUCCAGGCAAGAGUACUGGAGUGGGGUGCCAUUGCCUUCUCCGUGGAAAAAGCCUACCAUGUGUCAAAUAGUAUGAAACAUUCAAGUGACACUUCUGAGAAAAAUAGAAAUAAAUCAAUAUACCCACAAGUGAACAACGAGAAAAGAGUGGUUACUUAA
Molecule: long non-coding RNA, 528 nt
Filed under: Ovis aries (sheep)
Lineage: Eukaryota; Metazoa; Chordata; Mammalia; Artiodactyla; Bovidae
Description: lncRNA (ENSOARG00000027018.1)
Source: RNAcentral